GAGUUGGAAUCAAUGGUACCAUAAAUUGAGGAGCUGGAGUCGGUGGUACCAUAGAUUGAGUUGGAAUCAAUGGUACCAUAAAUUGAGGAGCUGGAGUCGCUGGUACCAUAGAUUGAGUUGGAGUCAAUGGUGCCAUAAAUUGAGGAGCUGGAGUCGGUGGUACCAUAGAUUGAGUUGGAGUCAAUGUCAAUGGUACCAUAAAUUGAAGAGCUGGAGUCAGUGGUACCAUAAAUUGAGUUGGAGUCAAUGGUACCAUAAAUUGAAGAGCUGGAGUCAGUGGUACCAUAAAUUGAAGGGCUGGAGUCAGUGGUACCAUAAAUUGAGUUGGAGUCAAUGGUACCAUAAAUUGAAGAGCUGGAGUCAGUGGUACCAUAAAUUGAAGGGCUGGAGUCAGUGGUACCAUAAAUUGAGUUGGAGUCAAUGGUACCAUAAAUUGAAGAGCUGGAGUCAGUGGUACCAUAAAUUGAGUUGGAGUCAAUGUCAAUGGUACCAUAAAUUGAAGAGCUGGAGUCAGUGGUACCAUAAAUUGAGUUGGAGUCAAUGGUACCAUAAAUUGAAGAGCUGGAGUCAGUGGUACCAUAAAUUGAAGAGCUGGAGUCAGUGGUACAAUAAAUUGAG
Long non-coding RNA from Erpetoichthys calabaricus (reedfish), 618 nucleotides. RefSeq lists it as uncharacterized. NCBI's taxonomy places the organism in Eukaryota, Metazoa, Chordata, Cladistia, Polypteriformes, Polypteridae. The transcript is spliced from 3 exons. The record is from RefSeq and is a predicted model, not a curated record.